AUUGAACGCUGGCGGCAUGCCUUACACAUGCAAGUCGAACGGUAACAGGCCGCAAGGUGCCGACGAGUGGCGAACGGGUGAGUAAUGCAUCGGAACGUGCCCAGUCGUGGGGGAUAACGCAGCGAAAGCUGUGCUAAUACCGCAUACGAUCUAUGGAUGAAAGCGGGGGACCGUAAGGCCUCGCGCGAUUGGAGCGGCCGAUGUCAGAUUAGGUAGUUGGUGGGGUAAAGGCUCACCAAGCCAACGAUCUGUAGCUGGUCUGAGAGGACGACCAGCCACACUGGGACUGAGACACGGCCCAGACUCCUACGGGAGGCAGCAGUGGGGAAUUUUGGACAAUGGGCGCAAGCCUGAUCCAGCAAUGCCGCGUGCAGGAAGAAGGCCUUCGGGUUGUAAACUGCUUUUGUACGGAACGAAAAGGUUUGGGUUAAUACCCUGGGCCGAUGACGGUACCGUAAGAAUAAGCACCGGCUAACUACGUGCCAGCCGCCGCGGUAA
RNAcentral lists this ribosomal RNA (498 nucleotides) under uncultured bacterium. Its description in RNAcentral is "partial 16S ribosomal RNA". It matches the Rfam family "Bacterial small subunit ribosomal RNA", at positions 29 to 523 of the family's 1533-position model. The record is from RNAcentral.